Long non-coding RNA from Mercenaria mercenaria, 955 nucleotides. RefSeq lists it as uncharacterized. Lineage: Eukaryota; Metazoa; Mollusca; Bivalvia; Venerida; Veneridae. The transcript has 2 exons. The record is from RefSeq and is a predicted model, not a curated record.
GUCACGUUACAUUGUAUGUACACUGAUGAGCCGAUAGGCGAAACUAGAUGAAGCUCCGUCUGUAGCUGUCUUAUAUCCAAGCAUGUACGUUUUGGGGAAUGUCAACAUCACACUUGAUCGAAAACGAGACAGUGUAAAGUCUAGCUAAGCUCUUACUACCCGUUUGUAUUAAGUACAUUCAUGGCAUCAGUACACCAACGUAACUCACUUGAAGUAAUAGCACCAAGAUUUUGAGAUGACAGAGAAAAAGUGAUUUCCUGUGUGGGUUUAGUAGAAAGACAAAGUUAUCGCACCAUCAAAUAGGAAAACACAGUGAUUACUUCUAGUGGGAUAGGAUGGGAUGUGACUUAAUCACCAAGUAUGUUCUGUACUUUACCAUGUUUGCAUGGUAUUCUAUUUUUAUAUCUUUAUACUGUUUUCACCAAUACUAGAUUAAGAUGUAGCUAUGUUUAAUAUUCCAUAUAUGUUGUAAUUUACAUCCCAAAAUAGAAUUUUGAGUGAUCAAAGUUUUAGAAGUGUUUUAAGGUUUGUGUUACCUUUCUUUGAAAUUUCGGACACUUGUAGUAAAGCACAGCAGUUUGUAAUAACGGUAACUUUUAUUGUUACCUUGUUGUUAUAACGUUUUUGUUAAAUACACAUUUCCUUGAUUAAAGGCUAGACGUAGACCCCAUUGGAUGUUGCACUGUGGCAUCUAUGCUGGGUGUGCAUUGUUGACAAUGUCAAAAUUAAAAUCGUUUCUUUUACCAUCUAUUUUGGUUUCAUUAUUUUCCAAUAAAUAUGUUAAAUGGAGGUCAGAAAAAUGGCGUUUCUUAAUGUAUUUUAGUCUGCUGUCAUUGUAAUUAUUUUGGAAAGCUGCAUUCCACGAGUUUUGAAAAAAAUGAAGCAUUUCAUCAAGGUACCUUGAUUUGUCACUAAAUCACUAUCAUAACGUUAUAAAAAUAAAUAUGAAAUACAG